CACCACACGGGAGCCCCGUACAGUGCC
RNAcentral lists this small RNA (27 nucleotides) under Bombyx mori (domestic silkworm). RNAcentral's name for it is "ovarian small RNA-12928". The record is from RNAcentral. Lineage: Eukaryota; Metazoa; Arthropoda; Insecta; Lepidoptera; Bombycidae.